This 240-nucleotide unclassified non-coding RNA is filed under the name soil metagenome. RNAcentral's name for it is "partial contains 5.8S ribosomal RNA, internal transcribed spacer 2, and large subunit ribosomal RNA". The record is from RNAcentral.
AACCUUAUGGACCUGCGGGCGUAUACCUGCGGAGGGAUCAUUACCGAGUUUACAAAACUCCCAAACCCCUGUGAACUAUACCUGUCACUGUUGCUUCGGCGGUACCGACCCCCCGGGAAACCGGGACCAGGCGCCCGCCGGGGAUCCUAGUAACAUCUUGAAUCUUCUAUAUAAUAUGGCAUCUUCUGAGUGGUGGGAAAAAAAUGAAUCAAAACUUUUAACAACGGAUCUCAGAUCGGA